Molecule: long non-coding RNA, 726 nt
Organism: Phascolarctos cinereus (koala)
Lineage: Eukaryota; Metazoa; Chordata; Mammalia; Diprotodontia; Phascolarctidae
Source: RefSeq, a predicted model, not a curated record
CUCCACCCCCCACCCCUUCUCCCUAAGCCUUGGCCAAAGCUUGCAGAAAACCCCGUGGUCUGGACGGAGGUGGUGACUGCGCCUCUGGCUCCCAGCCAGGGCACUUUCAGCAAUAACAACAUUAGUCAUGCCUCUUACCAGAAACGGCAUCGACAAGCAGCCAGGAUCCAUGUGGCCCUGGGCGGUUUGCUUCAUUUCCUUUACAUGUUGUUUUCAGCUGCAACCUGCGUUUUCAUGCCAAGCAGGGACUUUGCCUAGAAGCCUCAGUUCGCCUCCAAAUGGGGCUGGUGGCUUUCAGGGGGAUUGGGUCGCACGCGCUCGUUGGGGAGGGGACUAAAAGAAGUUAUGCCUUAAAGAGAGUCCAUUCCCCUUACACUGGAGAAGUCUCACGUGAAGCCAAAUGUGCACGAAUUAGCUCGGAUGCCCUGUGCAGAAAUUACUGAGAGUGAUCAGAAUUAGAGACAGUUGGGGCAGCUGGAGUGUGAGUUGCCACUGGAUUGUGGCUGCUAUAUGUCCUUAGCCUACCAUGGUUGAGAGAGCAUACCAAGACGAAGACUAGAAUUUUCUCAGGGCAAGCCAAUUGUUGAAGAUUUUUCCUGUCCCUUCCCCCUCCCCACUUUCUACUUGGAAGAGCACACACUAAAUUCAAAACUUACUUGUUCUUUGAAGUUUGUUUACAUUUCUGUUCAAACUAGCAUUAAAUAAAAAUAUAUUUGAUUGUGGCAA